AUGCAAUGAUGCUUGCAUUUCUUCACCUGAAUCUUCCAUGUGGAUCAAAACAUACAAGCUUUUUAAUUCUGAGCUAA
Molecule: small nucleolar RNA, 77 nt
Filed under: Hucho hucho (huchen)
Lineage: Eukaryota; Metazoa; Chordata; Actinopteri; Salmoniformes; Salmonidae
Source: RNAcentral